This 72-nucleotide transfer RNA is filed under the name Parcubacteria group bacterium CG2_30_36_21. Its description in RNAcentral is "tRNA-Ile". It matches the Rfam family "tRNA". Rfam says of the family: Transfer RNA (tRNA) molecules are approximately 80 nucleotides in length. Their secondary structure includes four short double-helical elements and three loops (D, anti-codon, and T loops). RNAcentral also lists the same sequence under 4 other names. The record is from RNAcentral.
GGGUGAGUAGUUCAGUGGUAGAACGCUUCUCUGAUAAAGAAGAGGUUGGAGGUCCGAUUCCUCCCUCACCCA